This 256-nucleotide ribosomal RNA is filed under the name uncultured bacterium. RNAcentral's name for it is "partial 16S ribosomal RNA". It matches the Rfam family "Bacterial small subunit ribosomal RNA", at positions 335 to 587 of the family's 1533-position model. The record is from RNAcentral.
AUCCCUACGGGACGUAGCAGUGAGGAAUAUUGGUCAAUGGGCGAGAGCCUGAACCAGCCAAGUCGCGUGAAGGAUGACGGCCCUACGGAUUGUAAACCUCUUUUGUCAGGGAGCAAUUGGGUCCACGCGUGGGCUUAGCGAGAGUACCUGAAGAAAAAGCAUCGCCUAACUCCGUGCCAGCAGCCGCGGUAAUACGGAGGAUGCGAGCGUUAUCCGGAUUUAUUGGGUUUAAAGGGUGCGUAGGCGGAAUAUCAAG